Molecule: ribosomal RNA, 492 nt
Filed under: uncultured bacterium
Lineage: Bacteria
Description: partial 16S ribosomal RNA
Rfam family: Bacterial small subunit ribosomal RNA
Source: RNAcentral
AGUGAACGCUGGCGGUAGGCCUAACACAUGCAAGUCGAACGGCAGCACAGUAAGAGCUUGCUCUUACGGGUGGCGAGUGGCGGACGGGUGAGGAAUACAUCGGAAUCUACUUUUUCGUGGGGGAUAACGUAGGGAAACUUACGCUAAUACCGCAUACGACCUACGGGUGAAAGCAGGGGAUCUUCGGACCUUGCGCGAUUGCAUGAGCCGAUGUCGGAUUAGCUAGUUGGCGGGGUAAAGGCCCACCAAGGCGACGAUCCGUAGCUGGUCUGAGAGGAUGAUCGGCCACACUGGAACUGGGCCACGGUCCAGACUCCUACGGGAGGCAGCAGUGGGGAAUAUUGGACAAUGGGCGCAAGCCUGAUCCAGCCAUACCGCGUGGUGGAAGAAGGCCUUCGGGUUGUAAAGCCCUUUUGUUGGGAAAGAAAAGCAGCAGGUUAAUACCCCGCUGUUCUGACGGUACCCAAAGAAUAAGCACCGGCUAACUUCGUG